GUAGGUGAACCUGCGGAAGGAUCAUUAACACGUGAUACUCACGUAUUAACAAACGCGAACAUGUUAUUUUGUCCUAAUGUUGGAAGAAACGAGUAAGAGGGAAUGGUGUGAGUCGCAAGGCUCUGUCUCUUAUUCUACGAUCCUCUGAGGUCGACGUUUUUACCAGCAUUAGACGAUGAAUUUUAGUUGUCUAACCCGCACCUUGGUUGGCAACUAGAAUGACCCUAUUAUUAACCCCAUAUUUAUAUUUUACUGAUUUGUAUGUUCAUUUGAAUUCCUAACUUUCGAGUUGGUUGAGUUCGCUUGAAUGUCGUAUAUUUUUAAUACGAAACAACUCUUAGCAACGGAUAUCUUGGUUCUC
RNAcentral lists this unclassified non-coding RNA (361 nucleotides) under rhizosphere metagenome. RNAcentral describes it as "partial ribosomal RNA internal transcribed spacer region". The record is from RNAcentral.